GUGCCAGCCGCCGUGGUAAUACCGGCAGCCCGAGUGAUGGCCGAUCUUAUUGGGCCUAAAGCGUCCGUAGCUGGCCGCGCAAGUCCAUCGGAAAAUCCACCCGCCCAACGGGUGGGCGUCCGGUGGAAACUGCGUGGCUUGGGACCGGAAGGCGCGACGGGUACGUCCGGGGUAGGAGUGAAAUCCCGUAAUCCUGGACGGACCACCGGUGGCGAAAGCGCCUUCGGAAGACGGAUCCGACAGUGAGGGACGAAAGCUAGGGUCUCGAACCGGAUUAGAAACCCGGGUAGUCC
This 293-nucleotide ribosomal RNA is filed under the name uncultured bacterium. Its description in RNAcentral is "partial 16S ribosomal RNA". It matches the Rfam family "Archaeal small subunit ribosomal RNA", at positions 455 to 747 of the family's 1478-position model. The record is from RNAcentral.